Molecule: ribosomal RNA, 423 nt
Filed under: Triticum aestivum (bread wheat)
Lineage: Eukaryota; Viridiplantae; Streptophyta; Magnoliopsida; Poales; Poaceae
Description: partial small subunit ribosomal RNA
Source: RNAcentral
AUGACAUUCUUUGUCAAGUCUUUGUUUCUUCUUCUCUUGCAUUACAUUUCAGAUUUCGAUUUCUAUAAAUUUGCUCCCUAUCUUAGAUCACUAUUCGUUGUACUUUUUGUGCAUUUUUCUAUGUCGUUACAUUGGUGCAUUGAUUUCUUUUCCACUUCAUUCUUCCUAAAUAGCCCUACGAAGUUUCUACACAAAUCUGGAAAACAUGUUUUCCUUCACUUUUUAGAUGAAGUGCCAGAUAUGACACAUGACAACGAGAGCUUCCAACUUUUGACUAUAAUGUUGCAAUCAUCAAUACCUGUAGCUUUCCAACUUUUGACUAUAAUAGGCUCCGGCUCUGGCAAUAAUCGAGCAUGUGCUGUUAACUGUUCCAUUCGAUCUUGCUCGUCAGAUAGUUUAUUAUGUCGCGUUUGUCUCACAUGA